Molecule: ribosomal RNA, 497 nt
Filed under: uncultured bacterium
Lineage: Bacteria
Description: partial 16S ribosomal RNA
Rfam family: Bacterial small subunit ribosomal RNA
Source: RNAcentral
GAUGAACGCUGGCGGCGUGCCUAAUACAUGCAAGUCGAGCGAACAGAUGAGGAGCUUGCUCCUCUGACGUUAGCGGCGGACGGGUGAGUAACACGUGGAUAACCUACCUAUAAGACUGGGAUAACUUCGGGAAACCGGAGCUAAUACCGGAUAAUAUAUUGAACCGCAUGGUUCAAUAGUGAGAGACGGUUUUGCUGUCACUUAUAGAUGGAUCCGCGCCGCAUUAGCUAGUUGGUAAGGUAACGGCUUACCAAGGCAACGAUGCGUAGCCGACCUGAGGGGGUGAUCGGCGACACUGGAAGUGAAACACGGUCCAGAGUCCUACGGGAGGCAGCAGUAGGGAAUCUGCCGCAAUGGGCGAAAGCCUGACGGAGCAACGCCGCGUGAGUGAUGAAGGUCUGCGGAUCGUAAAACUCUGUUAUUAGGGAAGAACAAAUGUGUAAGUAACUAUGCACGUCUUGACGGUACCUAAUCAGAAAGCCACGGCUAACUACGUG